GUGAGUCAUCGAAUCUUUGAACGCACCUUGCACUCUUUGGGUUUACUAAAGAGUAUAUCUGUUUGAGUAUCAUAAAUACCAUUAACUCUAGUUAAGAGUUGAUAUGAGAAUUACACUUUCCUAAUAAGAAAGUGAUUCUUAAAAUGUAUGGUAAAGCAAAAAAGUGUGGUAAAAAGGAAAUAUUAUAUUUUCUUCAUGUCACUUUUAGCUUAAAAAAUUUCUAAUUAUCAUCUUUGAUGAUAAAUAGAAAAAAGAAUCCUAUGAUCUCAAAUCAGAUAAGACUACCCGCUGAACUUAAGC
This 300-nucleotide unclassified non-coding RNA is filed under the name uncultured fungus. RNAcentral describes it as "sequence contains 5.8S rRNA gene, ITS2". The stretch from base 1 to 72 matches the Rfam family "5.8S ribosomal RNA", at positions 84 to 154 of the family's 154-position model. Lineage: Eukaryota; Fungi. The record is from RNAcentral.